GACGAACGCUGGCGGCGUGCUUAACACAUGCAAGUCGAACGGUGACGGAGAGCUUGCUCUCCUGAUCAGUGGCGAACGGGUGAGUAACACGUGGGCAACCUGCCCAGACUUCGGGAUAACGCUUCGAAAGAGGUGCUAAUACCGAAUACGAACCUCCCUGGCAUCUGGGAGGUUGGAAAGUUUUUCGGUCUGGGAUGGGCCCGCGGCCUAUCAGCUUGUUGGUGAGGUAACGGCUCACCAAGGCGACGACGGGUAGCCGGCCUGAGAGGGCGACCGGCCACACUGGGACUGAGACACGGCCCAGACUCCUACGGGAGGCAGCAGUGGGGAAUAUUGCGCAAUGGGCGAAAGCCUGACGCAGCAACGCCGCGUGAGGGAUGACGGCC
Molecule: ribosomal RNA, 386 nt
Filed under: uncultured bacterium
Lineage: Bacteria
Description: bacterial SSU rRNA
Rfam family: Bacterial small subunit ribosomal RNA
Source: RNAcentral